AAGCUGCGCUCUGACCACCCCUUGAGCACAUGUCAUCAGGGCCUCCUGAGGCUGUAUCAUCGGUGCGCAUCGUCAUCCUUGGCAAAAUAAACCUUCUAAAUUAACUGAGACAUGUCUCAAAUUUUUGGGGUUCACAGGUCCCACGCUACAUCAACAAUUUCAUUCACUCAUUUACCUAAGCCAUAGUUAUUGAAGACCAUU
Molecule: long non-coding RNA, 201 nt
Filed under: Pan troglodytes (chimpanzee)
Lineage: Eukaryota; Metazoa; Chordata; Mammalia; Primates; Hominidae
Description: long non-coding RNA NONPTRT001575
Source: RNAcentral